CUGAUGGAGCACUGCCGCGUGAGUGAUGACGUCUCUCGGAUCUUAAACUCUGUUGUGAGGGAAGAACAAGUACCGGAGUAACUGCCGGUACCUUGACGGUACCUCAUUAGAAAGCCACGGCUAUACUACGUGCCAGCAGCCGCGGUAAUACGUAGGUGGCAAGCGUUGUC
RNAcentral lists this ribosomal RNA (170 nucleotides) under uncultured Caryophanaceae bacterium. RNAcentral's name for it is "uncultured Planococcaceae bacterium partial 16S ribosomal RNA". It matches the Rfam family "Bacterial small subunit ribosomal RNA", at positions 383 to 545 of the family's 1533-position model. Lineage: Bacteria; Bacillati; Bacillota; Bacilli; Caryophanales; Caryophanaceae. The record is from RNAcentral.